GCUGGCGAAGUGACUGCCCAUCAGUUUCCGAUGAGAGCAGGGCAGGUCCUACCUUCCAAGAAGGACCUGGAGGCCAGGUUUCCUGGGCCCUAGCUCAGCCCCUCAGCUUUCCGGGGGUGUCGGGUCAAAGCGGGCAACCAGGACUGCAUCAGCUCCCAGGGUGCUGGAGCCGAUCCCCAACACCACCCCAUCCUACGGCCAUCUCAGAACCCUCUGAGGCCGGAUAAAGAAGAAAAACCAAGACACCACCCAGGCAGGCCUGCGAGCUCAGCAAAACCUCCAAGAAAUCAGCCACGGUGCUUGGGACAGGAGGGAAGGAAGAGGCAGAACCCAACACUCAUGGGAGAAGGGCUCCGAGCGCUUCUAACAGGUGGCAGGACCGCCCAUUGUCCCCAUCACCAGGGAGCAGCGCAGGACGGGCAGCG
Fukomys damarensis (Damara mole-rat) is the source of this 425-nucleotide long non-coding RNA. RefSeq lists it as uncharacterized. NCBI's taxonomy places the organism in Eukaryota, Metazoa, Chordata, Mammalia, Rodentia, Bathyergidae. The record is from RefSeq and is a predicted model, not a curated record. The transcript is spliced from 3 exons.